UUCUAAUUGGAGAUGACGAGAUGACGAUCCCAUGUCAUGUUCUGAUUGGAUAUCAACUCUAUGAACGAUGAAAUAUAUUGUUGUUGUCAUUGGACAAUCAGCAUAUACAAUCGUUAUCCAAUCAGAAUAUGACAUGUGACAGUUAAUAUUC
This is a non-coding RNA of Glycine soja, 151 nucleotides long. The record is from Rfam. Lineage: Eukaryota; Viridiplantae; Streptophyta; Magnoliopsida; Fabales; Fabaceae.